Molecule: ribosomal RNA, 506 nt
Filed under: uncultured bacterium
Lineage: Bacteria
Description: partial 16S ribosomal RNA
Rfam family: Bacterial small subunit ribosomal RNA
Source: RNAcentral
AGUGAACGCUGGCGGUAGGCCUAACACAUGCAAGUCGAACGGCAGCACAGAGGAGCUUGCUCCUUGGGUGGCGAGUGGCGGACGGGUAAGGAAUACAUCGGAAUCUCCUCUGUCGUGGGGGAUAACGUAGGGAAAAUUACGCUAAUACCGAAUACGACCUACGGGUGAAGGCAGGGGACCUUCGGCCCUUGCGCGAUUGAAUUAGCCGAUGUCGGAUUAGCUAGUUGGCGGGGUAAAGGACCGCCAAGUCGACGAUCCGUAGCUGGUCUGAGAGGAUGAUCAGCCACACUGGAACUGAGACACGGUACAGACUCCUACGGGAGGCAGCAGUGGGGAAUAUUGGACAAUGGGCGCAAGCCUGAUCCAGCCAUACCGCGUGGGUGAAGAAGGCCUUCGGGUUGUAAAGCCCUUUUGUUGGGAAAGAAAUCCAGCUGGCUAAUACCCGGUUGGGAUGACGGUACCCAAAGAAUAAGCACCGGCUAACUUCGUGCCAGCCGCCGCAGUAA